CAGUCGCCGCGGUAAAACGAGGGAUCCUAGCGUUGUUCGGAAUCAUUGGGCGUAAAGAGUAUGUAGGCGGCUUGGUAAGUCAGUUGUGAAAUCCCCGGGCCUAACCCGGGAAGUGCAAUUGAUACUGCCAAGCUUGAAUUUGGAAGAGGGUAGUGGAAUUCCUGGUGUAGUGGUGAAAUACGUAGAUAUCAGGAGGAACACCGAAGGCGAAGGCGGCUACCUGGUCCUAAAUUGACGCUGAGAUACGAAAGCAUGGGGAUCAAACAGGAUUAGAUACCCGAGUAGUCCCUGUCUCUUAUAC
RNAcentral lists this ribosomal RNA (301 nucleotides) under uncultured bacterium. RNAcentral's name for it is "partial 16S ribosomal RNA". It matches the Rfam family "Bacterial small subunit ribosomal RNA", at positions 509 to 807 of the family's 1533-position model. The record is from RNAcentral.